AAUCCGUGAUGAGGACACUUUCUGAGGGUAUCAUUAAACCGCUCCCACGCUUCACUAAAUGGUCCGUAAGCAAGCUGCUUGAACGAAGAGAUCUUGUUCCUUAAGGC
This is a non-coding RNA of Brassica napus (rape), 107 nucleotides long. The record is from Rfam. NCBI's taxonomy places the organism in Eukaryota, Viridiplantae, Streptophyta, Magnoliopsida, Brassicales, Brassicaceae.